AAACAUCAACCCAACAAUGUUAGAUCUGUAAAUUUGCUUUCGCAAAUUUUUGGUUCUUCCCUCGCCGGGAUUCGAACCCAUGCUACUGUGAUAUCGUGACACCAAAUCGCCAGCACUGCAGCCGUCCCGCUAGACCACACGACCACCUGGGCUCUCAUAAAAAGAGCUUUCGCUGGCCGUGUGUUACCUUUCCUCGUCAGUUUUAAUCUAGCGGCGUACUACAGUACAUGAUAUAUAAGGCAUGAAGAUGUUAUUGUUACAGAUCAGCUAAAUUAUCUAUAGUAAAGGAACCUAAAAAUUAAUGUA
RNAcentral lists this long non-coding RNA (306 nucleotides) under Mytilus galloprovincialis (Mediterranean mussel). Lineage: Eukaryota; Metazoa; Mollusca; Bivalvia; Mytilida; Mytilidae. The record is from RNAcentral.